AGAGUUUGAUCAUGGCUCAGGAUGAACGCCGGCGGUGUGCCUAAUACAUGCAAGUCGAGCGCACUGGCCCAACUGAUAUGACGUGCUUGCACUGAAUUGACGUUGGAUUACCAGUGAGCGGCGGACGGGUGAGUAACACGUGGGCAACCUGCCCUGGAGCGGGGGAUAACAUCUGGAAACAGGUGCUAAUACCGCAUAACAACGAAAACCACAUGGUUUUCGUUUCAAAGAUGGUUUCGGCUAUCACUUCAGGAUGGGCCCGCGGUGCAUUAGCUAGUUGGUAGGGUAACGGCUUACCAAGGCAAUGAUGCAUAGCCGAGUUGAGAGACUGAUCGGCCACAAUGGAACUGAGACACGGUCCAUACUCCUACGGGAGGCAGCAGUAGGGAAUCUUCCACAAUGGGCGCAAGCCUGAUGGAGCAACACCGCGUGAGUGAAGAAGGGUUUCGGCUCGUAAAGCUCUGUUGUUGGAGAAGAACGUGCGUGAGAGUAACUGUUCACGCAGUGACGGUAUCCAACCAGAAAGUCACGGCUAACUACGUGCCAGCAGCCGCGGUAAUACGUAGGUGGCAAGCGUUAUCCGGAUUUAUUGGGCGUAAAGCGAGCGCAGGCGGUUGCUUAGGUCUGAUGUGAAAGCCUUCGGCUUAACCGAAGAAGGGCAUCGGAAACCGGGCGACUUGAGUGCAGAAGAGGACAGUGGAACUCCAUGUGUAGCGGUGGAAUGCGUAGAUAUAUGGAAGAACACCAGUGGCGAAGGCGGCUGUCUGGUCUGCAACUGACGCUGAGGCUCGAAAGCAUGGGUAGCGAACAGGAUUAGAUACCCUGGUAGUCC
RNAcentral lists this ribosomal RNA (832 nucleotides) under uncultured bacterium. RNAcentral's name for it is "bacterial SSU rRNA". It matches the Rfam family "Bacterial small subunit ribosomal RNA", at positions 8 to 796 of the family's 1533-position model. The record is from RNAcentral.